AUUUUUAAUAUAUAUAGAUAUAUGUUUAUAUUAUAAAAGAAAUUUGUUUUACAAAAGUUGAUUAGCUUGUUAUAUUCUUCCAUUUAUAAUUAAUUUAAGGAUAAUUGUGUUAUUUAAAACUAUAUAAUCUAUAAAAAUAUUAUACAUUAUUAUCACUAUUAUACUUGUCUUUUAAUAGAAAAUGCCUAAAAUGGAUGGAAUGCCCAAA
Molecule: long non-coding RNA, 208 nt
Filed under: Salvia miltiorrhiza (redroot sage)
Lineage: Eukaryota; Viridiplantae; Streptophyta; Magnoliopsida; Lamiales; Lamiaceae
Description: long non-coding RNA (SMIL_LNC014205)
Source: RNAcentral